AGAGUUUGAUCAUGGCUCAGAAUCAACGCUGGCGGCGUGCCUAACACAUGCAAGUCGAACGCGAAAGCCCCGCAAGGGGUAAGUAGAGUGGCAAACGGGUGAGUAACACGUGGGUGACCUGCCUUCGAGUGGGGGAUAACGUCCCGAAAGGGACGCUAAUACCGCAUGACAUCCUGCCUUUGAAGAGGUGGAGAUCAAAGUUGGGGAUCGCAAGACCCAGCGCUUGAAGAGGGGCCCGCGCCUGAUUAGCUAGUUGGUGAGGUAAUGGCUCACCAAGGCGACGAUCAGUAGCCGGCCUGAGAGGGCGGACGGCCACACUGGGACUGAGACACGGCCCAGACUCCUACGGGAGGCAGCAGUGGGGAAUUGUUCGCAAUGGGCGCAAGCCUGACGACGCAACGCCGCGUGGAGGAUGAAGACCUUCGGGUCGUAAACUCCUUUCGAUCGAGACGAACGGCCUUCGGGUGAACAAUCCGGAGGAGUGACGGUACCGAGAGAAGAAGCCCCGGCUAACUCCGUGCCAGCCGCCGCGGUAAUAC
This 539-nucleotide ribosomal RNA is filed under the name uncultured bacterium. RNAcentral's name for it is "bacterial SSU rRNA". It matches the Rfam family "Bacterial small subunit ribosomal RNA", at positions 8 to 526 of the family's 1533-position model. The record is from RNAcentral.